This 482-nucleotide ribosomal RNA is filed under the name uncultured bacterium. Its description in RNAcentral is "partial 16S ribosomal RNA". It matches the Rfam family "Bacterial small subunit ribosomal RNA", at positions 30 to 507 of the family's 1533-position model. The record is from RNAcentral.
AUUGAACGCUGGCGGCAUGCCUUACACAUGCAAGUCGAACGGUAACGGGCCUUCGGGUGCCGACGAGUGGCGAACGGGCGGGUAAUACAUCGGAACGUGCCCGACCGUGGGGGAUAACGAGGCGAAAGCUGUGCUAAUACCCCAUACGAGCUACGGAUGACAGCAGGGGACCGCAAGGCCUUGCGCGGACGGGGCGGCCGAUGGCAGAUUAGGUAGUUGGUGGGAUAAAAGCUUACCAAGCCGACGAUCUGUAGCUGGUCUGAGAGGAUGAUCAGCCACACUGGGACUGAGACACGGCCCAGACUCCUACGGGAGGCAGCAGUGGGGAAUUUUGGACAAUGGGCGCAAGCCUGAUCCAGCCAUGCCGCGUGCAGGAUGAAGGCCUUCGGGUUGUAAACUGCUUUUGUACGGAACGAAAAGCCUUCUUUUAAUACAGGAGGGUCAUGACGGUACCGGAAGAAUAAGCACCGGCUAACUACGUG